Long non-coding RNA from Serinus canaria (Common canary), 4639 nucleotides. RefSeq lists it as uncharacterized. The transcript is spliced from 3 exons. Lineage: Eukaryota; Metazoa; Chordata; Aves; Passeriformes; Fringillidae. The record is from RefSeq and is a predicted model, not a curated record.
GGGAAUCUCCAGAUUCUAUCCAGGUAGGAAUGCUUGGGAAUCUCCAGAUUCUAUCCAGGUAGGAAUGCUUGGGAAUCUCCAGAUUCUAUCCAGGUAGGAAUGCUUGGGAAUCUCCAGAUUCUAUCCAGGUAGGAAUGCUUGGGAAUCUCCAGAUUCUAUCCGGGUAGGAAUGCUUGGGAAUCUCCAGAUUCUAUCCAGGUAGGAAUGCUUGGGAAUCUCCAGAUUCUAUCCAGGUAGGAAUGCUUGGGAAUCUCCAGAUUCUAUCCAGGUAGGAAUGCUUGGGAAUCUCCAGAUUCUAUCCAGGUAGGAAUGCUUGGGAAUCUCCAGAUUCUAUCCGGGUAGGAAUGCUUGGGAAUCUCCAGAUUCUAUCCAGGUAGGAAUGCUUGGGAAUCUCCAGAUUCUAUCCAGGUAGGAAUGCUUGGGAAUCUCCAGAUUCUAUCCGGGUAGGAAUGCUUGGGAAUCUCCAGAUUCUAUCCAGGUAGGAAUGCUUGGGAAUCUCCAGAUUCUAUCCAGGUAGGAAUGCUUGGGAAUCUCCAGAUUCUAUCCGGGUAGGAAUGCUUGGGAAUCUCCAGAUUCUAUCCAGGUAGGAAUGCUUGGGAAUCUCCAGAUUCUGUCCAGGUAGGAAUGCUUGGGAAUCUCCAGAUUCUAUCCAGGUAGGAAUGCUUGGGAAUCUCCAGAUUCUGUCCAGGUAGGAAUGCUUGGGAAUCUCCAGAUUCUAUCCGGGUAGGAAUGCUUGGGAAUCUCCAGAUUCUAUCCAGGUAGGAAUGCUUGGGAAUCUCCAGAUUCUAUCCAGGUAGGAAUGCUUGGCUCCUCCCCCUGGGCUCCCAUCUCCCAAUGGAUGCUGCAGCUCUUAUCAGCCAUGCAGGGACAUUCCAUGGCUGUUAUCAGGUGUCCCCCAGAGGGAGGAGUGAUUGGGAUCACUCAGAGAUAAGGAAAACUGCCCACUGCCCCACAGAUGGUGAUAGAACACAUCCUGCCUUGCAGUCUGGAACAGAUCCCAAACCACACCCACAAAACAUGCAGGAAUUUUAAAAAAAUUAAUAAAUAAAUAAUUAAGAGGGGGGAAAGGCUGAAUAAAUUCACCACGAAUUGGGGGGGAAAAAAGGGUACAUAAAUAUUUAUAAUGUGCUUGGUUAAUGGCUCUUUGCAUCUAUAGGAUGUGAAUUUUAGAACUAAUGUAAGUUAAAAUAUCAUCUGACUAAUCCUGUGUAUUCCAGCUGCACCUGAGUAGUGCUUGUAGAUUCUUGUUUUAAAAGAAAACCCCUCAUAAUUCACAUUUCCUGUGCAUUUUGAUACAAAUAUCUGUCAACUAGUGGAGCACUUAGGAAUAUCCUCAUUUAAAGGGAGAUGCAGAGGAAAUGAUGUCCAAACCCUAUUUAAGCAUGAAUGAUUAUGCCAAUAGCACUUUAAAUUAAUUUAGUGCAUUUAAUCAAUAUUUCCAGUGUAAAUGCUAAUUUCUUUCUGGUUCUCCUGUCACUUCUGUAUUGUCUUCAAUUAUUUCUCAGGCAGGAAUAAUAUUCUUAAAUUACCAAGUGGCUUCAUUAUAGAUGCAAAGUAAUUUAGAUCCUGUCUGUGGCCUUGCUGGCCUGCAGAACAGAUCAUUAAUGAUUCACAGAUGAAUAUUUGAUGUACAAAUCCUAUUUAGCUUAAGUGAUUCUGCCAAUAGGACUUGAAAUUAAUUUACUCCAUUUAAUCUAUAUUUCCAGUAGUAAUUAUCUUUUUUUUUUAAUCUGCUAAUUUCCUAAAUGGAAAACAUAAAGAUAAAUAAAUAGUUGGUGAAUGUAAAUGUGCUUCAUGUAGGUUAGGUGAGGAGUGGAGCUCCACAUGUCUCUCAUGUGGGUUUAAAUUGAAAAUUGGCUUUUUUCCCUUCAUAUUUCAUGUGACUCUCUCAGCACAUUGCAACCCUUCAGUUCAUCCCCUCAUAUCCAGUGGUUACCCCUAGCUGGGGGUAAAUAAUAAAUAAAUAUAUUCAUUUUUUUCACCUUUGCCAUUUUGCAAUACCCUGAAGCGAUGAAGAAAUCCCAGUUUUUGUUUUCUCUUGGAAAGUUGCUGGUCCCUGGAGCUUUGGUAUUGCAGUGCACUAUUUGAAGUUAAGAGGCUUAACCUGAGAAAAACAUCAUAAAUACAAACUCCCCUUGCUGGGUAACACAGGGUCAGUGAUAUCCCUGUUCCAUAAUUCCCAAAAACCUACAAAUUCCAGUCCAAUUUUUCAUUUUUAAUUCUCAGCUCCAUGGGAUAGGAGUGCUUAAAGACAGCAUAUUCCUUUCCAAAAUGUCCUGGAGAAGAUUUGCAUGAUUCCAGGAUGAUUUUUCUGCUGGCUCUGCUGGCAGGUUUAAUUAAGAGCAGAGGCCUUUCAUGUUUGUCUGUGUCAGUAAAAUAUUAAUUCCCCAUCAAGUGACACUGUGGGGACCAAAAACCAUUUAAUUCCAUGGGUUUGUGUGACUGGGUGUAAAGCUUAACCAAAGGACAGGGGAAUAAGGUGAAGAAUGGCUUGGUUCUUUGAAAUAAAAUAAUAAAAUAAAAUAAAAUAUAAAAUGAAAUCAUAAAAUCAGAGCUAAGAAGUGCUGAUAACCCCUGGCACUCUUGUUUUCACAGAGCACAACCAACCCCACUUUUGUCAUUGGGAUCAUUGGGAUGUUUCCAGAAAUUAGAUCAGUGCAGGCCCUUAGGAUAGGAAGUCUAAGGUCAGCCAAUAACUAAAAAUAUCUGAUUAUCAGCCAACAUGUGCAUUAGAUACUAGGGAAAAACUAUUUAGAGCAAGCACACAACUCCAAAUAAUAACCAAAGGAUUUGAUGCUUUGAGAUAGAAUUUAUGCUCUGAAAAAUCUCACUUAGGGAGAGAGGCUGGACACUGAGGAUUCAAAGUGAGAAAGGAAUUAACUAGCAGAGCCAGCAUUUUUUACUAAUACUAUUUAUUAUUAAAGUUUAAUUUAAAAUAUUUAUUAAUAGUAUGUAUUAGUAAUUUUUAUUAAUGAAGGUGAGAAUUUGGGAGCCUUUGUUGUACUUGAAUUCAUUUGGGAAUUGACAGUACAAAUUGAAAUGUCUCCUCAGAGUGGACCAGCUUUUUUAUGAUUUUUAAAUAAAUUUUUUUAAGGUUUUAACAGAUUUGUUCCCAGCUGGGGAUGGGUUUGGAUCCAAGCAGCUUCAAAAAAAAAGAGAAAUAAAAAUUCCUGCUGUCCUUCCCUGGGUGUCAGGGAUCCCUCACCCCAUCCAAACUCUGAGAAAUGAGAGGUCAGGGACACUGAGAGGAGCAUUUUGGGUGGAGUUUUAUAUUCCAGAAUUGUGGAACUCUGGGCCAUUGUCCCUGGAGCACAACUCCCCCUAAAAGGUGGAAUUCCAUGUUCAGCCAGGUGUUGUGAUUGAGCUGAAUUCUGGGGGUCACUCAGGAAUUGCUGCUGACACACAUCUCACCCCUUUUCCCACCAGUUUGUACUAAAAACCACAGUCCCAGCUGGUUUUGGGCAGUGCAGGGAAUACCAAUAAAUAUUCCAAUAAAUAUUCCAAUAAAUAUUCCAAUAUUCCUCUGGGUGCUCAAGGUGUUUGAUAAAACCAAACCCUUUUAAUAAGCUUGAUGGCCCUUUGGAGAUCCUGUUGGGGUGGGAGGUCUGCUGCAAAUAAAUCAAGGACUGGGAAAUAAAUUAUCCAGCAGAAAAAAACCCUCACAUUUUCCUUAGGAGCCCAAACUUCUAAUUUUGCCAAUCCAUCUUUUUGGGAUGGCCAUUCCUGGUUUGAGGGCCUUGCUCCCUGUGCUUUGAUGAGAACCUUGAUGCUGCAGAGCAAUUCCUGUGGAAUAUCCCUGGUAAUUCCCAGGUUUUUGUCCAGGAAAGCAACAUGCCCAUCCAGGAGAACCUGUUGGGGUGGGAGGUCUAGAAAUAAAUCAAAGAUUGGGAAAUAAAUUCUCCCACAAAGAAAUUCCACAUUUUCCUUAGGAGCCCACACUUCCUAUUUUAUCAAUCCAUCUCUUUUGGGAUGACUGUUCUUGGUGUGAGUGCCCUGCUCCCUGUGCUUUGGUGAGAGCCAUGAUGCUGCAGAGCAACAAGGAAAUAUCCCAGUGGAAAUAUCCACAAAAAUCCCACAUUUUUCUCAGGAGUCCAAACCUCCAAUUUUGCCAGUCCAUCCCUUUUGGAAUGACUGUUCUUGGUGUGAGUGCCCUGGUCCUGUGAUUUGGUGAGAGCCUUGAUGCUGCAGAGCAAUUCCCGUGGAAUAUCCCUGGUAAUUUGAAUUUUGCCCAAGAAAGUGACAUGCUCAUCCAGGAGAUCCUGUUGGGGUGGGAGGUUUGCUGGAGAUAAAUCAAGGAUUGGGAAAUAAUCCCACAGAGAAGCCCCACAUUUUCCUUAGGAGCCCAAAGUUCCAGUUAAUGCUGCCAGUCCAUAGUGACUGUCCUUGGUGUGGGUGCCCUGCUGGCUGUGCCCAGGUGAGAGCCAUGAUGCUGCAGAGCAACAAGGAAAUAUCCCAGUGGAAAUAUCCACAAAAAUCCCACAUUUUUCUCAGGAGUCCAAACCUCCAAUUUUGCCAGUCCAUCCCUUUUGGAAUGACUCUUCUUGGUGUGAGUGCCAUGCUGGCUGUGCCCUGGUGAGAGCCACGAUGCCAGGGAGCAGUUCCUGUGGGAUGUCCCAGUUAAUGCCCAGUUUGUGUGGGG